This 1008-nucleotide ribosomal RNA is filed under the name Pseudomonas monteilii. Its description in RNAcentral is "bacterial SSU rRNA". It matches the Rfam family "Bacterial small subunit ribosomal RNA", at positions 33 to 1046 of the family's 1533-position model. Lineage: Bacteria; Pseudomonadati; Pseudomonadota; Gammaproteobacteria; Pseudomonadales; Pseudomonadaceae. The record is from RNAcentral.
GCACGGGCCGCAGCACAAACAUGCAGUUCGAGCGGAUGACGGGAGCUUGCUCCUUGAUUCAUCGGCGGAGGGGUGAGUAAUGCCUAGGAAUCUGCCUGGUAGUGGGGGACAACGUUUCGAAAGGAACGCUAAUACCGCAAACGUCCUACAGGAGAAAGCAGGGGACCUUCAGGCCUUGCGCUAUCACAUGAGCCUAAGUCGGAUUAGCUAGUUGGUGGGGUAAUGGCUCACCAAGGCGACGAUCCGUAACUGGUCUGAGAGGAAGAUCAGUCACACUGGAACUGAAACACGGUCCAGACUCCUACGGGAGGCAGCAGUGGGGAAUAUUGGACAAUGGGCGAAAGCCUGAUCCAGCCAUGCCGCGUGUGUGAAGAAGGUCUUCGGAUUGUAAAGCACUUUAAGUUGGGAGGAAGGGCAAUAAGUUAAUACCUUGCUGUUUUGACGUUACCGACAGAAUAAGCACCGGCUAACUCUGUGCCAGCAGCCGCGGUAAUACAGAGGGUGCAGGCGUUAAUCGGAAUUACAGGGCGUAAAGCGCGCGUAGGUGGUUUGUUAAGUUGGAUGUGAAAGCCCCGGGCUCAACCUGGGAACUGCAUCCGAAACUGGCAAGCUAGAGUACGGUAGAGGGUGGUGGAAUUUCCUGUGUAGCGGUGAAAUGCGUAUAUAUAGGAAGGAACACCAGUGGCGAAGGCGACCACCUGGACUGAUACUGACACUGAGGUGCGAAAGCGUGGGGGAGCAGACACGAUUAGAUACCCUGGUACUCCACGCCCUACACGAUGUCUACUAGCCCUUUGGAAUCCUUGAGAUUUUAGUGGCGCAGCUCACGCAUUAACUUGACCGUCUGGGGGAGUACGGCCGCACGGUGAGAACUCAAAUGAAUUGACAGGGGCCCGCACCACCGUGACAUGUGGUUUUAUUCUUAUUUACACGAGACCUUACCACGCCUUGACAUGCGAGACUUUGCAGAAUGAUUGGUGGCGUGCGGACUCUGACUCAGUACUGCAG